GUCAUUUCAAGGUCAUUCAUUUGAAGGUCAAGGUCACUGUGACCUUGAAUGUAAAAAUGUUAAAGUUCUUAUUUCAUGGUAUAACUUUGGUAUGCUUGGACCUAGAGUCUUCAAACUUGACAUGAAGGUUGGCCAGGAUUAACAGAUGACCACUGGUCAUUUCAAGGUCAUUCAUUUGAAGGUCAAGGUCACUGUGACCUUCAAUAUAAAAAAUGUUAAAGUUGUUAUAACUUUGGUAUGCUUGGACCUAGAGUCUUGAAACUUGACAUGAAGGUUGGCCAUAACUAGUUAGUAACCACUGGUCAUUUCAAGGUCAUUCAUUUGAAGGUCAAGGUCACUGUGACCUUGAAUGUAAAAAUGUUAAAGUUCUUAUUUCAUGUUAUAACUUUGGUAUGCUUGUACCUAGAGUCUUCAAACUUGAAAUAAAGAUUGGCCAGUACUAGAAGAUGACCACUGGUCAUUUCAAGGUCAUUCAUUUGAAGGUCAAGGUCACUGUGACCUUGAAUGUAAAAAUGUUAAAGUUCUUAUUUCAUGGUAUAACUUUGGUAUGCUUGGACCUAGAGUCUUCAAACUUGACAUGAAGGUUGGCCAGGAUUAACAGAUGACCACUGGUCAUUUCAAGGUCAUUCAUUUGAAGGUCAAGGUCACUGUGACCUUGAAUGUAAAAAUGUUAAAGUUCUUAUUUCAUGGUAUAACUUUGGUAUGCUUGGACCUAGAGUCUUCAAACUUGACAUGAAGGUUGGCCAGGAUUAACAGAUGACCACUGGUCAUUUCAAGGUCAUUCAUUUGAAGGUGAAGGUCACUGUGACCUUCAAUAUAAAAAUGUUAAAGUUGUUAUAACUUUGGUAUGCUUGGACCUAGAGUCUUGAAACUUGACAUGAAGGUUGGCCAGAACUAGUAAGUAACCACUGGACAUUUCAAGGUCAUUCAUUUGAAGGUCAAGGUCACUGUGACCUUGAAUGUAAAAAUGUUAAAGUUCUUAUUUCAUGUUAUAACUUUGGUAUGCUUGUACCUAGAGUCUUCAAACUUGAAAUAAAGAUUGGCCAGUACUAGAAGAUGACCACUGGUCAUUUCAAUGUCAUUCAU
This is a long non-coding RNA of Dreissena polymorpha, 1086 nucleotides long. RefSeq lists it as uncharacterized. The record is from RefSeq and is a predicted model, not a curated record. Lineage: Eukaryota; Metazoa; Mollusca; Bivalvia; Myida; Dreissenidae. The transcript has 3 exons.